Molecule: long non-coding RNA, 594 nt
Filed under: Scleropages formosus (Asian bonytongue)
Lineage: Eukaryota; Metazoa; Chordata; Actinopteri; Osteoglossiformes; Osteoglossidae
Description: lncRNA (ENSSFOG00015030233.1)
Source: RNAcentral
GGAGAGAUAUUUUUGUCAAAAACUGUACACAGGCUGCAUUUUGAUGCAUUUUGUUGUCUCAGGUGAACCAGGAGAGCCAGGAAGAAUCACGACUGGAGCUGGCUCCAACUCUGUCAUGAUCCCUGGACCUCCAGGAAGCCCUGGUCCCCCUGGUCCUCCAGGACUGUCAGGUCUCAUUGGUCCAGCUGGAAUACCUGGAGAACGUGGCCCAAAAGGUGAGAAAGGAGAUAAAGGAGAGCCUGGGAUUUCUGUAAAAACCACUGGAACAGUCAGAUCUGCCCAAACUGAAAGUGGACAAUCUGCAGCUCCUAUUCCUGGACCACCUGGACCCCCGGGACCCCCCGGACCACCUGGCCCUCCAGGAGAAGCAAAAGAAGGUCCUCCAGGUCUACCAGGACUGCCAGGUAUGCACAGUUAAUUUUUUUGUAAAACUGACAGAAGAUUUCAGAUACUAAAUUUGGAAAUGACUGAUAGAGCUGCUCCUCAGGAGUUGGUAAUCCUGGACCCCGAGGAGCAAAAGGAGAGCCAGGAAGCUUUGUCCCAACUUCAGGUGCGUGAAAUAAAGAAAAGGUUGGUCUUAUAAAUAUUUUAAAA